UUAAACACUAUUACAAAUCUAAAAAUAAAGAUUAACUAUGGCCAGUGUGAAAGUUUUUUCUUUUGCUUUGCUUCUUGUCCUCCUUUUCUCCGUUGAUGUUGAAGGAUAUGUGUUAGAAAGUACAUCCUUGUGUUGCAAUACCCACCCAGAAUUUGGGAGGUGCAUCCCAAACCUUGACACAAGGAGAUGCAACAGCUGGUGUCUUAAAGGAUGCGACAACAAAAAAGGUGGUUUCUGCAAACGUGUUGGCGGAGGACAAUGCCAUUGUUAUUGUUAAGAAUCACAAAACCAUGUAAAACUUGCAUGAACAUUUAAUUAUUUCGUUUAUGUUGCAGUAUUACCUAGCUACUUUUGUAUGAUUUAUGAACUUAUGAUAUUUGUACGAAAGAGAUAAAAAGAUCUUCAAC
Brassica oleracea var. oleracea is the source of this 407-nucleotide long non-coding RNA. RefSeq lists it as uncharacterized. NCBI's taxonomy places the organism in Eukaryota, Viridiplantae, Streptophyta, Magnoliopsida, Brassicales, Brassicaceae. The record is from RefSeq and is a predicted model, not a curated record. The transcript has 2 exons.